CAGAGCCUGCCCCCCAGAGGCCAGGAGACGCCGCCCUAGACAGGUGCCGCUCCCAUGCUGCCUUCCCCAGAGUCUCAGAUCCUGACCCAGAUGGCCCGGCCCCGUCCUCUCCUCCAGGGAGCUGCUGGGCAGGCAGAGGGGGGCCUUCUCCGUUCCUGCCUCGGGUCACAUCUCAGGCUCACUGGCAGGCAUCUGUCCUUGUGGUCCCACGCCAGCUGCUCUGGCCAGAGCCCCGUGGAGGGGCACGGUGGGCUUAGCCCUGGACGCCCACCCCCAGGCCCAGCCAGCCUCACGAGCGGUGCGUCCACUCGCCCGGCCAGAACAGGGAGGUUUGGCCUUGGAGGGUUGCAGGGUGCAGGACUGCCUUCCAGGCAAGCCCACCACCACCACCACCAUCCCCCUCAGUGUGGGCCUGGGGGUGCCAGGGUGGUGGAUGGAGCCCAGGAGCGUGUGAGUGGGUCCUGCAUGAGGGCCCCGUCUGCUCCUGACUCUAUGGGGCAACCAUAGAGGGACCGAGUGGCCCCAGUGUGGAGGAGAGGCAGGGAGGGGGAGCAUAGGGGGAGGGAGAGGGACUCAAGUGGGUCCCACAACCUCACCCUCGGCCUGCCUGGGUGCAGGCGGGGACCUGACGCCCCCUGCCACCUUGGGGCUGCGCCAGGUACCUGCCUGCCCCUCUGGCCUGGGCUUUGUUGAACUCAGGUGGCCUGGACGUGAGUGAGUGCUCUGAGGGGGCCUCAUGGGGACAGUGGCUUCAAACUUUCUCCGGCACAAGGUGCCCCGUCCCCAGAGGUUUCUGGAUCGGGCUUCCAUGGCAGCAGGCGUGACCUGGCCAAGAGCUGAGCCAGGCCUCCUGCCUGUAAGGGCCGCUGGCCGGGAGCAGAGCAGGAAGGCUGGACCCCAGCCCUGCUGGACACCUGCCUGGCAGAGGACACUCGAAGACAAGCCAGGCCAAUCCAGAGCUGAGUCCAGAGCUCCCAAGAGGCCCCCGACGGCGGAGCACCACGUCGGCCACGUGGACACCACAUGGCACCCCACGGCCGCCACCAGAGAAGCCCCCCUUCCCCGGGGCCUCGCCUCCCUCGGACACCAUCCCCACCUGUCAUCCCUCCUGAGUGGUAUGUGGACUGUCCAGGGGGUGAGUCAGGUAGAGGCAGGGGCUCCGAGGGGCAGUGGCCAGAGAUGCUCUGGGGAAGGGCGAGGGCGAUGCCCUGCGGGGAGGGGACUCCGGACACACCCUCGGUCGCACGGCCCACCCUACUGGGCUCGGCUGAGGAAGGCGGAGGGUCCGGCAUCGAGGCGACAGCUAACUGCUCGAGAGCCCAGAAGGCAGUGGUGGAGGGCAGCCCUCUGAUGGCCGGGGCCGGGCAGCACCCUGGACAUCCAGGCAGACAGGGAAACUGCUCAACCCAGUAACACGGACACGUGGCCUUUCCUGCCUGCCCUUCCCUUCUCUGGGGACGUGGGGCCAGGAGCACUCCCGGGGCGCAGGGCUCGCCUCACCCGGGGCCCAGCCCUGCCAGGGGAUGGGGGCCCUGAUUCUGACCCCCAGCUCAGCCGGAGGCCAGUCCUGAGGAGUGAGGCCAAGUGAGCCCGAGGGCGGGCGGAGAGUGUGGCGCUGUGGCCGCGCCCUGUCCAGGUGGGCGUGCGGUCUGCAGCUCGGGGCCCCAGGACCUCAGAUGGCUCCCGGACCAGAUGCACAGCAGCAAGGGGCUGGGGGGGGCUUCCUGUCCCUGACCUGUCCCCUAACCUGGCCUCCGUCUCAGAGCCUAGGUGGUACUCCGUGACCUCGGGCCUUGGGGGUGCGCAUGAAAGACAGGCAGGGAGGCAGUGUUCUUCCUUCUGGGCCCCGCUGUCCCCCUGCCCCAGCCCCACCUGGGUGGGACCCCGGCCCACAGGGGAAUGGGCUUCUGGAUCACACCACAGCCCACCCCACACCCCCUUCCGGAAGCACCUGUGUCGGCGGGUCUGGAGCAUGGGGUGGGGUGCCUGGGGACGUCCCCGGGGAGUUGGGUGCACAGGGGGGCCACCGCUUCUCCCUCAGGGCAGCAGAUUGGGGUCCGCGGUUCCGACGCCACUUGCCCCCCUCCUUGAUUAAAGACGUGAGGCGCCUCUGUAUCCCCCCCAGGGAAGGGGGGGCAGGCCAGGAAGGACCCAGCCAGCCCCGCUAGCCCUCGUCUGACGAGCAGAGCUGCCACCUUCCAAGAAGGGGCCACAGCUCAGCACGCCCCAGAGCGAGAGGGACAGGGCACCAGGCCGGGACCUGCCCAUCUGUGCCCCAUGUCCACUUGAGGUCAGGGGAGACUGGGGGCCCCCAUGAGGGCCCGGGGGAGGGGCAGUCCCCGAGAGGGGGG
RNAcentral lists this long non-coding RNA (2351 nucleotides) under Sus scrofa (pig). Its description in RNAcentral is "lncRNA (ENSSSCG00050008665.1)". Lineage: Eukaryota; Metazoa; Chordata; Mammalia; Artiodactyla; Suidae. The record is from RNAcentral.